RNAcentral lists this unclassified non-coding RNA (316 nucleotides) under Hevea brasiliensis (rubber tree). The record is from RNAcentral. Lineage: Eukaryota; Viridiplantae; Streptophyta; Magnoliopsida; Malpighiales; Euphorbiaceae.
CAAUUAUCGAAGAAAAAAAAAAAAAAAGCUUUGUGGGUUUUGGUUUUUACGCUUCCAUUGAUGUUAUUUCUCAUCAUGGGUUUUCAAAUUUCUGAUGAAUUGUUGGGUACUUUUGUCCCAAUUCUUGUCUACUGGAUUUAUUCCGGUUUGUAUGUUGGUUUAGGAUAUUUUGAGAAUUAUAGAUUGCACUCUAAGAUUAUAGAUUGCACACCAAGCAGGAUGAGGAUGAGAAAAAUUUGGUCUCCAAAGCCACUGUUGUGAAAGGCGUUCUUCUUCAACAAUCUAUACAAGCUGUUGUUGCUAUCCUCUUGUUUAC